UCCUACGGGGCGCAGCAGUAGGGAAUUUUCGUCAAUGGGCGCAAGCCUGAACGAGCAAUGCCGCGUGAACGAGGAAGGUCUUCGGAUCGUAAAGUUCUGUUGAAGGGGAAAAAGAGCGGAAAGAGGAAAUGCUCUCCGGUUGAUAUUACCCUUCGAGGAAGUCACGGCUAACUACGUGCCAGCAGCCGCGGUACUACGUAUGGGGCAAGCGUUAUCCGGUUUUACUGGGAG
RNAcentral lists this ribosomal RNA (231 nucleotides) under uncultured bacterium. RNAcentral's name for it is "partial 16S ribosomal RNA". It matches the Rfam family "Bacterial small subunit ribosomal RNA", at positions 337 to 560 of the family's 1533-position model. The record is from RNAcentral.